ACGUAGGGUGCGAGCGUUAAUCGGAAUUACUGGGCGUAAAGCGUGCGCAGGCGGUUUUGUAAGACAGAUGUGAAAUCCCCCGGCUUAACCUGGGAACUGCGUUUGAGACUGCGAGACUAGAGUACGGGAGAGGGGGGCGGAAUUCCUGGUGUAGGAGUGAAAUGCGUAGAUAUCAGGAGGAACACCGAUGGCGAAGGCGGCCAACUGGACAGGUACUGACGCUGAUGCGCGAAAGCGUGGGGUGCAAACAG
This 251-nucleotide ribosomal RNA is filed under the name uncultured prokaryote. Its description in RNAcentral is "partial 16S rRNA". It matches the Rfam family "Bacterial small subunit ribosomal RNA", at positions 525 to 775 of the family's 1533-position model. The record is from RNAcentral.